This 730-nucleotide ribosomal RNA is filed under the name uncultured bacterium. Its description in RNAcentral is "bacterial SSU rRNA". It matches the Rfam family "Bacterial small subunit ribosomal RNA", at positions 60 to 835 of the family's 1533-position model. The record is from RNAcentral.
AGUCGAACGAUGCCUUCGGGCAUAGUGGCAGACGGGUGAGUAACGCGUGGGAAUAUACCUUUCGGUACGGAACAACAGUUGGAAACGACUGCUAAUACCGUAUGCGCCCUAUGGGGGAAAGAUUUAUCGCCGAGGGAUUAGCCCGCGUUGGAUUAGCUAGUUGGUGGGGUAAUGGCCUACCAAGGCGACGAUCCAUAGCUGGUCUGAGAGGAUGAUCAGCCACACUGGGACUGAGACACGGUCCAGACUCCUACGGGAGGCAGCAGUGGGGAAUAUUGGACAAUGGGGGCAACCCUGAUCCAGCCAUGCCGCGUGAGUGAUGAAGGCCCUAGGGUUGUAAAGCUCUUUCAGCGAGGAGGAUAAUGACGUUACUCGCAGAAGAAGCCCCGGCUAACUUCGUGCCAGCAGCCGCGGUAAUACGAAGGGGGCUAGCGUUGUUCGGAAUCACUGGCCGUACGUUUUACAGUAGGCGGAUUGAUCAGUCAGGGGUGAAAUCCCGGGGCUCAACCCCGGAACUGCCUUUGAUACUGUCAGUCUUGAGUCCGAGAGAGGUGAGUGGAAUUCCGAGUGUAGAGGUGAAAUUCGUAGAUAUUCGGAGGAACACCAGUGGCGAAGGCGGCUCACUGGCUCGAUACUGACGCUGAGGUGCGAAAGUGUGGGGAGCAAACAGGAUUAGAUACCCUGGUAGUCCACGCCGUAAACGAUGAAUGCCAGUCGUCGGGUAGCAUGC